AGCAGCCGCGGUAAUUCCAGCUCCAAUAGCGUAUAUUAAAGUUGUUGCAGUUAAAAAGCUCGUAGUUGAAUUUCGGGAUCAAUACGUUGGUCGUGCUUUCGGGUACGUACUGGCGUCAUUGGUUUCUCUCUUCUGACGAACCAUGAUGUCAUUAGUUUGGUGUUAUGGGGAGUUAGGACUGUUACUUUGAAAAAAAUUAGAGUGUUUAAAGCAAGCUAACGCUUGAAUACAUUAGCAUGGAAUAAUGAAAUAGGACGUUCGAUCCUAUUUUGUUGGUUUCUAGGAUUGACGUAAUGAUUAAUAGGGAUAGUUGGGGGCAUUAGUAUUCAAUUGUCAGAGGUGAAAUUCUUGGAUUUAUUGAAGACUAACUACUGCGAAAGCAUUUGCCAAGGAUGUUUUCAUUAAUCAAGAACGAAAGUUAGGGGAUCGAAGACGAUCAGAUACCGUCGUAGUCUUAACCAUAAACUAUGCCGACUAGGGAUCGGAUGAUGUUAAUUUUUUCAAUGACUCAUUCGGCGCC
RNAcentral lists this ribosomal RNA (520 nucleotides) under uncultured Glomus. RNAcentral describes it as "SSU rRNA". It matches the Rfam family "Eukaryotic small subunit ribosomal RNA", at positions 569 to 1087 of the family's 1831-position model. Lineage: Eukaryota; Fungi; Glomeromycota; Glomeromycetes; Glomerales; Glomeraceae. The record is from RNAcentral.